RNAcentral lists this ribosomal RNA (502 nucleotides) under uncultured Glomus. RNAcentral's name for it is "SSU rRNA". It matches the Rfam family "Eukaryotic small subunit ribosomal RNA", at positions 569 to 1074 of the family's 1831-position model. The record is from RNAcentral. Lineage: Eukaryota; Fungi; Glomeromycota; Glomeromycetes; Glomerales; Glomeraceae.
AGCAGCCGCAGUAAUUCCAGCUCCAAUAGCGUAUAUUAAAGUUGCUGCAGUUAAAAAGCUCGUAGUUGAAUUUCGGGACCAAUAUGUCGGUCGUGCCUCGGUACGUACUGGCAUCGUUGGUUUCUCCCUUCUGACGAACCAUGAUGUCAUUUAUUUGGUGUCGUGGGGAAUCAGGACUGUUACUUUGAAAAAAUUAGAGUGUUUAAAGCAGGCUCACGCUUGAAUACAUUAGCAUGGAAUAAUGAAAUAGGACGUUUGAUUCUAUUUUGUUGGUUUCUAGGAUCGACGUAAUGAUUAAUAGGGAUAGUUGGGGGCAUUAGUAUUCAAUUGUCAGAGGUGAAAUUCUUGGAUUUAUUGAAGACUAACUACUGCGAAAGCAUUUGCCAAGGAUGUUUUCAUUAAUCAAGAACGAAAGUUAGGGGAUCGAAGACGAUCAGAUACCGUCGUAGUCUUAACCAUAAACUAUGCCGACUAGGGAUCGGAUGAUGUUAAUUUUUAAUGA